AUACGUAGGGGGCGAGCGUUGUCCGGAAUGAUUGGGCGUAAAGGGCGCGUAGGCGGCUUUACAAGUCUGGAGUGAAAGUCCUAUUUUCAAGGUAGGAAUUGCUUUGGAUACUGAUGGGCUUGAGUGCAGGAGAGGUUAUCGGAAUUCCCGGUGUAGCGGUGAAAUGCGUAGAGAUCGGGAGGAACACCAGUGGCGAAGGCGGGUAACUGGACUGCAACUGACGCUGAGGCGCGAAAGUGUGGGGAGCAAACAGGAUUAGAUACCCUGGUAGUCCACGCUGUAAACUAUGAUAACUAUCUUUUAGCGAUACACAGUUAGAGGGUACGAGAAAUCAUUAAGUUAUCCACCUGGGGAUUACGUUCGCAAGAAUGAAACUCAAAUGAAUGGACGGGG
Molecule: ribosomal RNA, 393 nt
Filed under: uncultured bacterium
Lineage: Bacteria
Description: partial 16S ribosomal RNA
Rfam family: Bacterial small subunit ribosomal RNA
Source: RNAcentral